This 274-nucleotide ribosomal RNA is filed under the name uncultured bacterium. Its description in RNAcentral is "partial 16S ribosomal RNA". It matches the Rfam family "Bacterial small subunit ribosomal RNA", at positions 523 to 796 of the family's 1533-position model. The record is from RNAcentral.
AUACGGAGGAUCCGAGCGUUAUCCGGAAUUAUUGGGUUUAAAGGGUGCGUAGGCGGCGCGCUAAGUCAGGGGUGAAAGACGGUGGCUCAACCAUCGCAGUGCCUUUGAUACUGGCGCGCUUGAAUGUACCUGAGGUAGGCGGAAUGUGGCAAGUAGCGGUGAAAUGCAUAGAUAUGCCACAGAACACCGAUUGCGAAGGCAGCUUACCAAAGUACGAUUGACGCUGAGGCACGAAAGCGUGGGGAUCGAACAGGAUUAGAAACCCUAGUAGUCC